ACGCAGUUGUUUUAAUGUGAGACUGUUGGCUACACCAUGGAGAAGAUCUGGAGAGAGAUGCAUUUCAAAUGAAUAUGUCAUUAACAGAGAAGCCAUGCAGCUUCCUGUAGAUGCAAUCAUGUGCAUCUCCUCCUCCAUGGAUCCUCUAGAGCUCAGUUAUUGUGAGAAGUUCAGGCUCUGCUGCUUAUCUAGCAGGCUGAGAGCUACACCACUUCCUUUUACUGUGGUAAGGCUGCUGAGCACAAACAUAACAUGCACUUACAAUGUAUUUGAAAGAAAAUCAAAUGUGAAAAAACACCUUGGAAUGGAAUUUUGACUUGACAUUCAAUCAAUAUAAGCCUCUUUUAUUUUAUGAGACAUUAUACCGUUGACAAGAAACAAAAUGUUGGCUGGAGCGCAAUAUCUGCGUUAAAAAAAAAGCAGCAAGAUUAGUUACCAUAUUUGGAUGUGUGCAAUGGGUGUGCACUCCAAACACAAUGAAAAACUUCUUGUGCCAUCUUGUCUUUCUGGCCUUAUAUGUACAUGUGGCUUAUUUUUCUUCAAGGAGUAGAAAAAGUACAGGAAGUUGUUAUGACACUUUUGACUUCCUCUGCCAUGCCCAAAACGACCAGUAGCGACCACUAGCUAACCAACUGACUUACAAAUUUGAAUAAUUGACACACAACUUCACACCAACUGAUGUUAUGUGAAGUUAUGUAUACAGGAAGUGUUGUGUAUUGUCAUUGUUGUUUAGCAUUAGCUCUGCUCCAUUUUAUCUGUAAAACAACAUGUGACAUGGAAUCCCUGCAGUAUGGAUUCCUCACAGAGGCCCCAGGUUCUCGUCAGUCAUACCUCAACAUGCCAGGACGACCGGCCCGAACGCGUUUCUGUGAGCGUGUCGAAACCACACAUGAGAGCGCUACCUGAUGGAGCUUCUCUUUGUUUUUGUUUGAAGUAAUGGUCUAGGGAAAUUACGCUCAUUUGUUUUUGCUCUGCAGAGUUAAAUCGGGCAUCAGCACAAAGCUGCAAGAGCACUGCAAGAGGUUGAGGACUCCUAACAUGAUGAGGAGACGAAACAGGGACCACCUCUGGUCACUACUUAGCUAUUUAAAUACAAAGCAGGUUGAUAUAUUCAACCACUCCCUAGUGAAUUACCAAAUUUCAGAACUGAGCUUUUCCAUUCAUUUUAAUGGAGGCUAACAACUGCGCCAGAAAAUGGAUUUGUAUUCAAUCCCUUUAAGUUAAGUCAUUAAUGUCAACAGAUUAAUGUCAUUAAUGUCAACAGAUAUCAACCCCAAAAACACUGAGUUAAAUCUGAGUUAAAGAGGCCAGCUGAAACAAUGCAAAUUCAACCUUAAAGUAAUAACUUUGAAAUAUGCCAGAAUACAAACCAGCCCUGUUUUGUCUAUAAGACAGUGUAUACAGUAGCCAUAUAAAUUAUUCAUACAGACUAGCUGCAACAAGUCUACGAAAGGGUAGGAAAGGAAAGAAAGUCUUUUUCUCCCUCCGUUCUAUCCAUCAGGCCAUUCUCUCCUCCGUUCACCACACAUCAACUCUAAAUACAGAUGAAGGAGCAUGAUUCACAGCUAAAUGUCCUUAGAAGGAAAAGCAGUUGCUCUGUAAACAAAGAUCCUGUGACAUAAAUGCAAAAUUAUUCUCUCCCCCUGUCUCCCAACACUAUAUUUAGAGUCACGGAUCAUUCCUUAAACUACUGAAGGAGAAAAGACCAAACAAGUAAAACAGACCUAAUUCGAAGUGCCUGGUCCUUUUAUAACAACAUACACUUUGUUGCUGAAGGCAGUCUGACACCAAGGUUUAACCAUGCAUUGCAGUUCUCGGACCUAUGAGCAAUGGAACCAAUCCAACAAAUAAAUGUGCUGCUGCAGGGAAGACGUGUACCGGUAACCUCUUUUUGGCAGGAGUAUCAACAGCAACUCUGGACCUGACGAGACUCGGCAGGUUAUGUGCUUUUCAAAUAUGUAUGUAUCCAUUAGCCUUGCAAAACAAAAAUUUGUGAGAAGAAGACACUGUGGUUGGAGACGAACCUCAGUGUAAAGUUUAAACAGAAUCCACUGAAUGUGGAUACAACCAUCCAGGAGUGAAACAGCCCUCACUGAGAAUUCUUCAACAUUCUGAGCUGAGCUCACUUUGGAACUGAAUGUUAGCAGGUGGGAGAUUGUGCGAAAACAGGUUUCUGCCUGGAGCUGAUUCACCGAGUGAGGUAUUUUUGAAUGCACUGGACUCAGUCUGUAUGUUUGCAUAGUUCUGGGCCUUCACGCCAAGUGUUCCACUAACAACACGACGACACUUUUUCUUAUGUACGUUGUUAUUAGGUCUGUUUUAAUGAGAUAUAGAAGUCGACUGAUUUACAUGAUUUACAAUGAAACUUGUUGAUGGAACUGAAAACACAAAUAUUAACAAGGUGCUGUCAUUUUCAGUUGCAUUCCUAUUUUUUAUGGCAGUUCAUUGCAGGGUCAUGCACAAUAACCAGGGGAGGACAAAAAACUGUACAGGACGAGAAUCCUGCAGACAACCUGAGACUAAAGCAGACAGGGAUAUUUAGGUCUAAAUAAGAGAUGACCACUGUCUAAUGUGUAAUUUAAAACCAAUUUUAAGCAAAAUGUGCUCUGCUGCCACUUAUUU
Molecule: long non-coding RNA, 2622 nt
Organism: Cynoglossus semilaevis (tongue sole)
Lineage: Eukaryota; Metazoa; Chordata; Actinopteri; Pleuronectiformes; Cynoglossidae
Exons: 2
Source: RefSeq, a predicted model, not a curated record